AGAAGGUGGAGAGAAGAGGGGUUGUACGGCGUGACACAUGAAAAGUCCAUGACAGCACUAAUAGCACCAUAGGCAUGGUGAAGGGUAGUCAGCACCAGCGCAGGUAUGGUCAGUGACCACCAUCGCACGCAUGACUAGGGUGCCAGUCACACAAGGACACAGCAGGGUGGUCCAUUCCAAAAAAAAUCUGAGGUGGUUGAAGUUCCACACUGGAAUAUCAAAAUCAUAUCAACAAUAAGAUCUGCAAUAGCCUAUUUUGCAGUGGAAUGUAUUUAACUAUUUAAAAUGUGCAACAAUGAACAAUGAAAGUGAUGAGCAAAAUUAUAGCAGAUAUAAUUUCUAUUAAAUACAUGAUGGCUCAGCUUUUUUUUUUUAAAAGGUAAUGUCAGUUUAAAUGUGAGUUUCCCUAUGAGGUCCACAUGCCAUCCUGCUGUAUAUGAUGCACUGUUGGUGAGAGAAGCACAUGGUCUCUCUGCUACCUUGCACGGCAAAUCUGUGCCAUGAGAAGUCAUCCCUUGACAUUGCAUGUGUUCCCUGCAGGGAAAAAGGCCAGAGGACUUCAAGCCUUCCAGGCAGCUGUUUGCCACUGUAUGCCAUAUGAUAAAUAGAAAUACUGCUGAGAUGAGAUAGCGUGAUGAAGCCUCCAAAUGGUUAGGGCUUAAGCAUUAAAUAUGCACUCCGGCAAAGGAAAUGUGGUCAUACUGCCAAGGCCUGUGAAAACAAUAUAAAGUUGUAUCUCUCUCUCUCUCUCUUUCUCUCUCUCUCUCUCUCUUUCUCUCUCUCUGUUCUGUUUUAUUCAGUUCUGUUACAUCAGAACAAUAGUGGUUUGAGGCAGACACACAAGCCACAGAAAACAUAAUUUGGAAUGAGUUAUCCUCCAAGUGAUCUGUGGAUACACAUUUUUAUCAGAGUUCAGAUUUAACCACACACUAUAGUGCAUGGCCUACUGAACUGCAUAUUUAGUUUGAGAUGAACAGUCAAGCCUCUCCUCUCCUUCUUCUCUCAGUCUGUCUGGUUUCUUUGGUGGAUGUCCUUAAAAGCAGCCUUUAUUCCUCUGCACUCAGCUUUUUUGUCUUAUUUUUCUGAUGAUCCUCUGCAUGAGGGGGAACAUGAUGCCUGAUAAAUUAUUAAACAGAAGGGAGCAGACACACAACCUUUGCAUGCAUGGAGAAAAGGCUAAGGAGGGGUAACGACUGACUGACUUCCUCGAAUCGCUCACUGUCUGCAGCACCAUCCUGAUGACAGAAAAAAAGUCCCUUCACAGCGAGACUUCGAGGAGGGUAAAGGGCAAUGACCAUUCAUGGGUGCAACCUUCUUUGAUCAGCAGCUGUGUAGGAAUCAUGCACUUUGUGGGGAGGCAGCUCAGGGUGAACUAUCAAGCUUCCCCAUGACAGGGAAAGCAUCCAGCACUCUUUGUGCAUUUUGAUAUGAUACAGACUUUAUGCACCCCAUUGUGCUCCAUAGCCUUGUGAGAGACCAUGAGAAUCAAUCAUUCACACAACACGUUCAUACAAAAUAUAAAAAAUGUGGAAUAAACUGGCACUCAGUGACUUAGAGAUCCAGCACGGUACAAGGAAGAGACGGAACAAACUGUCCAGACAGUGAACACACUGGAUUCUCACACUAUGCCUUUGCUCGGCAUCAUUAUGUUUUUUUACAAGGCUAUACACACAUGAGUCCUUUGAUUGCAUGUUUUCUGUUCCCCCAUCCCUACAUUGCUAUGUUGAGGCUAGUACACCAAUAUUCCCCAAAAUGCAUCGCAGAUGCUCUUUUUUCCUCUGAGGAGAUACACUAUGUCCUGUCAGAAACCAGAGCCUUGCUUGACCGCACAUUCUUGGCCUAUGGGGAGACACAUGACCUGUCAAGUCAACAUGAAAAACAAAACACAAAGUUAUAAAAACACACAUAAGAUUGUGACAUUUAGGCAAAGGAGAAAGGGUUAUUUCUCUGUCUGCUCUGUAAAAGGUCACUGUGUUUUUUGGAGUGUGUGAAGAACACGGGAGAUGGAAAAACAAACUUGGUGUGAUCACUCAGAAAGCAAAAACAGCACAGCAGGAAAUCCCACAGAAAAAGGCCGAAGCAAGGGGGAGACAUAGCAGACCUUUUCAAGCCAGAUUUGCUUGAACUCAUCUUUCAUGCUGCCGAGGGGGCAGGAUAACUCUGUGUGUGUGUGUGUGUGUGUGUGUGUGUGGGGGUGGGAGUGGGUAAAGAGAGCACUAGAGAGAGACCAGACGAGAAGGUUUUGAUGAUGGCCUAACAUGUAGCCCUUCCAAAAAUAAAGCUACGCACGAAACGCCAGAGUUUUCUGCUGAGAACACUCUCACAUGAGGAAUAAGUGUGCAAUUUGUGAGUGUGAGUGGGCCCUCAUUCACCUCCCACAGAGUACCACACAAGAUGUGGGACCUACCACACACACACUCAUGCACACACACACACACACAAAUAGUCACGCACACACAAUAUCCUCAGGAAAAUCACAUGACACGUCUGCGUGGAAAAACAGCUGGCAGGAUAAGACAGUGUAAAUAUGCAGUAAUAGAGCUGAACCCUACUCUUACUUAAGAUUAUUACUAGAAGCCCUGCUCUAUGGUACUGAGGAAGAGCAUGAAGCGGACUUGACAAGUUGAUAGCACAUGCAUGACUAAGACUGAAUCCAAGUUUGACAUUGUGAACUUUGUUGUAUAGGUCUUUACGUGAGCCUCUUUGAUUCUGUAGAUGAGCCAUGGAAACACCCUGAGUAAGUGAUGAGUGACACAGCAAGAGUGGGUGUCAAGGGAGGCCAUUGCCGGAACAGUAUGUGCAAGAGUGAGAGAGGUGGGAGGCCAUCAGAAAAGCCCUCUUGGAAAUAGCUCACUCUGUUUCAGCCUUCAGACUGCAACAAGACCAAGAGCAAGCUAAAUGGAAAAGAGACAAAACAAAAGAUCCCACUAUAUCUGGAUCAUGGGGAUCAAGACACCAAUAUCCUCAUACAUCAAUGCAUCAUGACUGAUGUGGCAUUAACAUAUUGUUUAAUUAUCAAAGUGAUAUCAGGUCUUUUUUCCUAGAUGUUAUGAGUGUGGCUUUGGUGGCCCCAAUUCCGUGCUUCCCACAGCUGUGAUACAUAUCUGGGGAAGGGCCAUCUGGGAUGUCUGGAAUAUCAAAUGGAGCAUUUGGAAAGCAUAUGGGGCUUGAUGGGAAUUCCACUUCAAUAUAGGCAUGUGUCAGACACGCAUAUAGUCUAAAGGAGGAACAGAGCUAGGAAUAAGAAGGCUUGGCACCAUUGUUUGGAUUCUGUGGUCACAGACUGAAACAAUUUUGACAUAUUAUUUUGAGGAAACCAAAAUGUAACCAUUUUUUCUCAUAUAGGAGUAGUUUCAUACCUUAGAAAGAUAGAAAGUUCAGAUUUUAGCAACUUAUGCAAAUUAUUUAUGUGGCCUGUUCAAAACACAAUUUAACAAAAAUAUUUCAUUAUCAACAAAUUCUAAGAGUGAUUGACUGGAAUGACUUGAAACAAUAAUAUCAACAACCGAAUCAUCAACAACAGCAUUACCAAAGCCGCCUAAACGAUCUGAUAUUUUGAACAGCAGCCCAUUUAGUGUUCUCCGGGUGAUGGUGGACUUAUUCACUAAAAGUGAUGACAAAUCUCAACUCCAUCAUCACAACACAGACAGAAUAUGUGAUGGUGGGUCUAACUUUCUUCUUGCUGUAGGCUAAAUGAAAAUGAAUACAUAAUGACACUAUCUGACACCAAGGAUUUACGUAUAACCCUUUACAAAACUAUAAUACUUUAAGAUUACUGUAGGCUAGUAUUAUAAUAGAAUAUUAGGCUACAUGAUAUUUUGUAAUACCUCUAUAAUAUAUUUGCCCUGUGUUAGUACUUCUAGCUAGUGUCCCAUGAUGCUCUGACUGUAAGCUAAGAUGCUGUCACAGUUGCUGUCACUGUAUAGUGUGGGACUGCGACCAGUGGCCAUAGGGGAAUAUGGGUUGUUUUGAGUGCGUGAGUGUGUCAACUUGAUAAGUGAGCGCGCAUGUUUCCAUGUGCAUAGGUUUCCCCUGUGAGCGUGCUAGCAUGGAUGCGUGCAGGGAGAAGGGGAUGAGAUAACGUGUUGAAUACAAAAAAUGAUGUGUGUGUGGGGGGGGGUUGCUUGCUGUGUGCAAACGAGGGCCCUCUGUCAUGACAUGGUUUGGUGGUAAGGAGAUGGGAAAGGCUUCCGAAGAACUGUUUGAGCGCGUGAGACUGUCUUCACUGCAAUGUUUACCAGUGGCUCCACAGCUGCAAACCGUGAGUAGUCUAGCUAGUGGCACGAAGAUCAUAAAAAGCGGGAUAGUGUGUCGGAUGGACCGCCGGAAGCUUAUCAGAGAGCGAGAGUCCUCACACCUCACCAUAACAUCUCGCGGCCAGUACAGAUUAGCCUAGAAUUUCAACUAUGUCAACUACAUUUCUUGAAUUUCCCCUGGGGAUCAAUAAAGUAUCUAUCUAUCUAUCUAUCUAUCUAUCUAUCUAUUACACAACCUGGACAACUAUACAAAUAUAGG
Molecule: long non-coding RNA, 4515 nt
Organism: Alosa sapidissima (American shad)
Lineage: Eukaryota; Metazoa; Chordata; Actinopteri; Clupeiformes; Clupeidae
Exons: 3
Source: RefSeq, a predicted model, not a curated record